This 428-nucleotide ribosomal RNA is filed under the name uncultured bacterium. Its description in RNAcentral is "bacterial SSU rRNA". It matches the Rfam family "Bacterial small subunit ribosomal RNA", at positions 354 to 796 of the family's 1533-position model. The record is from RNAcentral.
GUUAGGAAUUUUGCGCAAUGGGCGAAAGCCUGACGCAGCAACGCCGCGUGAGGGAGGAAGGCCUUCGGGUUGUAAACCUCUUUCGGUUGGAAAGAAAAAAAUGACGGUACCAACAGAAGAAGCACCGGCUAACUACGUGCCAGCAGCCGCGGUAAUACGUAGGGUGCAAGCGUUAUUCGGAUUCACUGGGCGUAAAGCGCAUGUAGGCGGUUUGCCAAGUCUGAUGUGAAAUCCCUGGACUCAAUUCAGGAACUGCAUCGGAUACUGGUUUACUCGAGUAUAGGAGGGGAGAGCGGAAUUUCUGGUGUAGAGGUGAAAUUCGUAGAUAUCAGAAGGAACAACGGUGGCGAAAGCGGCUCUCUGGACUAUAACUGACGCUGAGAUGCGAAAGCGUGGGGAGCAAACAGGAUUAGAAACCCUAGUAGUCC